This is a long non-coding RNA of Chelonia mydas (Green sea turtle), 2518 nucleotides long. RefSeq lists it as uncharacterized. NCBI's taxonomy places the organism in Eukaryota, Metazoa, Chordata, Testudines, Cheloniidae. The transcript is spliced from 3 exons. The record is from RefSeq and is a predicted model, not a curated record.
UUUUCUUCCUUCCUUCUUAUGAAGAGGAGCUGGACAAAAAAGAAGAGGUUGGAGAAAAGACUGAAUUAGAGCCAACAUCUGAGCUAUGAAUAUCAUUACAUAUUUCCAGUUCAGAGGGCAGAGAUAUCUAGAAAGGAAGUGGUGCUUAUACACUAGCCUUGACUGACAGACCUUUUGCCUUCUUGAAUCUGAGUAGGUGGGGUCAUAAUGUUAUGGAGCAGAUGACAGAAGAAGGACAGACAAUAAAGAACAGAUGGCCAACUAGAAGCAAGUGCCAGAAUAUUGUUUGGAGUUAAAGACCCUGCUCCUCCUCCUACAUCAGACAGUAGAGGACCAGAUUUGUGGACCUGUCAACUAGAAGAUAGAUCAUUUUCUGAAUACAGAUGAUGUGGAAAGUCAUGACCACACAGAGUGAGCCAAUUCCUCAGGUCACUUGGGACACUCCAUUCUAGGGCUUUGAAGAGGAGUACGAAAAACUUCAGCUGAACUCGGUUUUCAACAGAGAGCCAACUAUAGAGAGCAGGGCAUUGGCAUGAUGUGCUCCUAGCAGCCUGUGCUGUUCAGCAGACAAGCUCCUGUGUUCUGAACCCAAGGUUGUAAGUUGUUGUAAGGUUAGCAGUCUCAUUCCUAGACACAAUGUGUUGUAGUAACCAAGCCUGGAGGUCCUAAAUAGUGGGAGAAUCCCUCCUCCCUUCACACAUGAUUUAGCAAAUGGCUGCUGAUACACAGUUUAAAAUUCUAUCAUAUACUCUGUUGCUUUUUCUCAACUACUGACUUGAUUAUAAAAUUGUUUAUGUAAUUUGACAAGGUGGUGCAAUCAAUAUUUGGACAUUGUCUGCUGCUCAGUCUGCCCUUCUGGCUUCCAGAAAGAUGUAUGGUUACUGUCAGCCUGAUGUACAGGUGUACAAUGUAGAGUCUUACUUCACCCAGCUAAAGGAAAUCUGAUCAUAAUUGGUUUCCAAUCCAGACAUGAAAAUUUGGACAUUAUGCUAGAGCAGAAAGCACCCUUCUCCUAUUACCCACAACUGCAGAAGGUGAUGAAGGAUUAGUCAGAAUGUUGCCAUCUGACUCUACCCCACUGACCUUCCACACCAUGGUUUCACUCAAUCCUGAACUUCCUGAUAGACUUUCCUAUAGUGCUGGGGAAGCUAGACAUUGACCUCAGGGCAGGGAGACCACAGACAGUGAACCAGUGGCAGUUCCUCUUUAGAUUAUAUAUCUAUCAGGGAAUUGUUGCAAAAAUCAGGAUGUAAGGACCAGACGAUAAAACCCUACCUUUCCAGUUUGGAAAAAAAGCGCCUAAUAGAUUAAAAGAACAGCCAUACUUGGUGAGAACAAAUGGUCCAUCUAGCCCAGUAUCCUGUCUUCCGACAGUGGCCAAUGCCAGGUGCUUCAGAGGGAGAACAUGCAAGAGUGUUUACAGAACUUGAGCUAAAUCUAAUUUUAGAAUUUUCUUCCAGCCUGUAACCCUCUGAUUCUAGAGAUUUGUCCAGUAAGGAGGCCCAUCUGCCAUAGAAUAAGACCUGUGCUUACACAAUGAUUUCAUGUUUCCUGGGGCCAUUAGGUUAUCCAGCACCAGAUGAGGUGGGACGGGCACUGAGUGCACAUGCCUGAUAUACACUUACCAAAACAACUGUUGUAUGCCCAACUCACCAAAGGAGAAAGGAAAUGGGGAGGCCAAAAGAAACGCUUUAAAGACGCCCUCAAGAUAAACAUCAAGAGACGUGGCGUCGACACCACAUACUGGGAGACAGCAGCCCAGGAUAAGGAUAAGUGGCUAAGACUUGUCAGAGAAGGAACAUCUGCUUUUGAGGAAAAUUGCCUUGCCCUAGUCACAGAAAAACACCACAAAAGAAAGGAAAGACAACUGUCAUGCAGCAAUCAUGGCCUAACGCUGUCUUCUAACACCACCUGCAACGUCUGCCAAUGAGCCUGUGGCUCAAGAAUUGGGCUCCUCAGUCACCAAAGGACCCAUGGAAAAUAAAAUCUGUGAAAGAGAUCAUCCUUGACCCUGAGGGAUCGCCGACAAGGUUGUCAUGUGAGCCAAUUGUUUUGUAACCUAGGGGAGCCCCAGCUACAAUGCUACCAACUAGCUUGGUGUGUGUUUAUACAAGGUAGACAAGGUGGAUGAGGUAAUGUUUUAUUGUACCAACUUCUGUUGGUGAAAGACAAGCUUCUGAGCUUACACAGAACUCUUCUUUAUGUCUGGGUGCUUGUUGAACUGGGUGUUAAAUAGUGUUUCAAGUCAUGUUAGCUAACUCCGUUUUUAAAAUCUUUUCUCCUAGUCCAGGACACUAGAAGGCUUUAUUUACUGAAGCCCCAAAUCAACUCUUGGUUCAAGGGAUACUUGGUCUUCACCUGAUCUUACCUUAAAAUAAUGCUACUUAAGUUUUCUAAUAUUCUCAACAGUUGACAAGAAGGGGUGAAUACCAAGGGAGGAAAUAUUACUUUUGUAGUGCUAACGAGGCCAAUGCAAUCAAGGUGGCCCAUUUCCAAAAGUUGACAAGAAGGUGUGAGU